CCUACGGGUGGCAGCAGUGAGGAAUAUUGGUCAAUGGGCGAGAGCCUGAACCAGCCAAGUCGCGUGAAGGAUGACGGCCCUACGGGUUGUAAACUUCUUUUGUCAGGGAGCAAUUGGGUCCACGCGUGGGCUUAGCGAGAGUACCAGAAGAAAAAGCAUCGGCUAACUCCGGGCCAGCAGCCGCGGUAAUACGGUGGUUGCGAGCGUUAUCCGGAUUGAUUGGGUUUAAGGGGUGCGUAGGCGGACUAUCACGUCAGCGGGAAAGAUUCGGGGCUCAACCCCGUGGUGCAGUUGAAACUGAUGUUCUUGAGUGGGCGAGAAGUAUGCGGAAUGCGUGGUGUAGCGGUGAAAUGCAUAGAUAUCACGCAGAACUCCGAUUGCGAAGGCAGCAUACCGGCGCCCAACUGACGCUGAAGCACGAAAGCGUGGGUAUCGAACAGGAUUAGAUACCCUAGUAGUC
Molecule: ribosomal RNA, 460 nt
Filed under: uncultured bacterium
Lineage: Bacteria
Description: partial 16S ribosomal RNA
Rfam family: Bacterial small subunit ribosomal RNA
Source: RNAcentral